AUAAAAAUUUCGAAGGCAAGCCGUGCCUAUUAUCUGGAUGGACAAAUACAACAAAUGGAGACUUGCAACAAACUGAAUUGACAGUUGUUAAGCAAAAAGAAUGCGCGAAAAGUCACUGGGAACUGACAGAAAGCCAUAUCUGCGCUACAGCUCAAAACAGAACGAAUGAAUACAAGGACGAUCUUGGUGCACCUUUGAUCGCUAAUGGUGUUCAAAUUGGAAUCGUUUCCUUCGCCUGUUCCUGUACUCUUGGACAGCCAGAUGUUUACACAAGAGUGCCCAGUUUCCUGUCUUGGAUCAAAACAAAUUUGAAGAAUUAAGAGAUAUUUCAUUUGUUUAUUACCAUUAGGUGUUACGAAAUUUA
Atta colombica is the source of this 364-nucleotide long non-coding RNA. RefSeq lists it as uncharacterized. Lineage: Eukaryota; Metazoa; Arthropoda; Insecta; Hymenoptera; Formicidae. The transcript has 3 exons. The record is from RefSeq and is a predicted model, not a curated record.